CGAACUCGCGAGUACAGUGGCGUACGGGUGAGUAACACGUGGGUAAUCUACCCUUUAGUGGGGAAUAACGCUGGGAAACCGGCGUUAAUACCGCAUAAUCCCGAGAGGGGAAAGCAGCAAUGCGCUGAAGGAGGAGCCCGCGGCCGAUUAGCUAGUUGGGAGGGUAAAAGCCUACCAAGGCAAAGAUCGGUAGCCGGCCUGAGAGGGCACACGGCCACACUGGCACUGAAACACGGGCCAG
This 241-nucleotide ribosomal RNA is filed under the name uncultured bacterium. Its description in RNAcentral is "partial 16S ribosomal RNA". It matches the Rfam family "Bacterial small subunit ribosomal RNA", at positions 77 to 334 of the family's 1533-position model. The record is from RNAcentral.